CCUACGGGAGGCAGCAGUGGGGAAUUUUGGACAAUGGGCGCAAGCCUGAUCCAGCAAUGCCGCGUGCAGGAUGAAGGCCUUCGGGUUGUAAACUGCUUUUGUACGGAACGAAACGGUCUGCUCUAAUACAGUGGGCUAAUGACGGUACCGUAAGAAUAAGCACCGGCUAACUACGUGCCAGCAGCCGCGGUAAUACGUAGGGUGCGAGCGUUAAUCGGAAUUACUGGGCGUAAAGCGUGCGCAGGCGGUUAUAUAAGACAGAUGUGAAAUCCCCGGGCUCAACCUGGGACCUGCAUUUGUGACUGUAUAGCUAGAGUGCGGCAGAGGGGGAUGGAAUUCCGCGUGUAGCAGUGAAAUGCGUAGAUAUGCGGAGGAACACCGAUGGCGAAGGCAAUCCCCUGGGCCUGCACUGACGCUCAUGCACGAAAGCGUGGGGAGCAAACAGGAUUAGAUACCCUGGUAGUCCACGCCCUAAACGAUGUCAACUGGUUGUUGGGUCUUCACUGACUCAGUAACGAAGCUAACGCGUGAAGUUGACCGCCGUGGGGAGUACGGCCGCGAAGGUUGAAACUCAAAUAAUUGACGGACGAGAGACGNGCGACGGACGACGACGAGGGAGGAGG
Molecule: ribosomal RNA, 623 nt
Filed under: uncultured bacterium
Lineage: Bacteria
Description: bacterial SSU rRNA
Rfam family: Bacterial small subunit ribosomal RNA
Source: RNAcentral